Molecule: long non-coding RNA, 1881 nt
Organism: Coturnix japonica (Japanese quail)
Lineage: Eukaryota; Metazoa; Chordata; Aves; Galliformes; Phasianidae
Product: VGF nerve growth factor inducible
Source: Ensembl
AUGAGGGGACCCUAUGGGGGUCUCCCUGACCUCCGCCCCCUUCGCAGCGCCGCCCUCCUCCUCUCCAUCGCCCUCCUGGCUCAGAGCCGCCCUCAGCCUCCCCCCCCCCAAAAGAAACCUCCAUCAUCAUCAUCAUCAUCAUCAUCCUCGAGGCUGGGAGACCCCUGGGACGAGCCGAACCCCUUCAGCUGGCUUGAAGACGCCAAAGGAGGCGGCACGAAACGAAACGGAGGAGGAAACCCGACAGAAACGUGGAAAGAAUUGGAAGAACUGAAUAAACUCCGAGCGGAGGCGAGAAAAAGGGAACGGGAAAGAGAACGGGAACGGGGCCGGGGAUGGGCCAGCGCCAGGCAGCUGAGGCAGCAGCAAAGCCUGGAGCUGAAGCUGCUGGAACGGCGCUACCAGGAGCUGAUGGAGAGCAGGAGGCAGGCGCAGGCAGCCCGGAAAGCGGCCGCCGAGGAGGAAAGGCUGGCGGACAUGGCGUCCGAUCUGCUGCUCCGGUACCUCCUGCACGGCCCCGGAGCGGAGGGGAAGCGAUCCGAGGAGGAGGAGGAGGAGGAAGGGGAGGAGGAACGGGAGGGGAAGGAGGAGUGGGGGGGGAGGGGCUUCCCUGAGGAGAGGGGGUUUGCGACGGGGAAGGAGUCAGUGAACAAUGGGGCAUCUGUGGGUAAAGGGUCAUCAAUGGGCAAUGGCUUCUCAAUGGAUGAAGAUUUAUCAAUGGGCAAUGGCUUCUCAAUGGGCAGAGGGGCGUCAGCGGGCAGAGGGUUUUCUGCAGGGCAGGAGUUCCCCAUUGAGAAGGAGUUUUCAAUGGGGAAGGGGUCGUCGGUGAGUAAGAAGUUCUCGGCGGGUACAGGGUUAUCAAUGGGGAAGGAAUUGGCCAUUGAUAAGGGAUUGUCAAUGGGGAAAGGCUCCAAGGUGGGGCAGGAUUUCCCACGGGGUAAUGGUUUAUCAAUGGGGAAAGGUUUCCCUAUGGACAGCGAGAGCCCGAUGGACAACGGGGCCUCAAUGGACAAUGAGGUGUUUGUGGGGAGGAAGACCCCAAUGGGGAGGAAGAUCGCAAUGGGCAAGAAGAUCCCGAUGGACACCCUGAGAUUCCCAACCGCCAACAAGAUCCCAAUAGCCAACAACGAGAUCCCAAUGGCCAACAAUGAGAUCCCAAUGGCCAACAAGAUCCCAAUAGCCAACAAUGAGAUCCCAAUGGCCAACAAGAUCCCAAUGGCCAACCAUGCAAUCCCAAUGGCCAACAACGAGAUCCCGAUGCUCAACCAAAUCCCAAUGGCCAACAACGAGAUCCCAAUGCUCAACCAGAUCCCAUUGGCCAACCACGAGAUCCCGCUGUCCAACCAUCUCCCUAUGGAUGAAGGCCCCAUGGCCAACCAGCUCCCGGGAGACCCCAACUCAUCCCCCCUCCACUCUCACCUCAACCCAGCCAACGUCCCAAGGACCGACACCGACCCAAUACCAGCCAACCCAGCCCCCGACUCGCUCCCAUUGGCCCAAGCGUUGGCUGCGGCCCUUCCAGCUCCUCCCGGUACCGGCACCGAUGGAGAUUUGGACCCUGAUGAAGGUUUGGACCCUGGAACCAUUGAUGAGCUGAUCGAGUUGUCCAGUCGUUUGCACCUCCCUGCGGACGACGUGGUGGACAUCAUCCACGACGUGGAGCAGAAGAGACAGGAGGAGGCGGCGGCGCUGGCGGCCUUUCCGCUGCCCGAUGAUGACGUCACUGAUGAUGAUGACGUCACUGAUGACGUCACCAACAAGCAGGAGUUGGAGGAGGAGGAUGAAGGUGGGGAUGAAGCCGUUCCCCCCCCGCCCCUCCCCGCCCCCCGGCCCAGGACGUUCCGGCCCCCGGCGGCGCAGUGGGGAGGGAGGAGGUGGUGA